UACAUGCUAAUAUAGUGUUGCUGGUCCUUAAUGAAACUGAUAGUUUUAUCGUGAGCCCUUGUAUGUCCAUUGCAUCAUUCAGUACAGAAGAAAGAAUUACACUGCAAUUAACCUGUCCAUCUUGAUGUCAUAUUGUCAUGCAUACUAGAACUAAGAGUGUGACAUCAGGGCAUUCUACAAAUGCUUUCAAAUAUAUUAAUGAAGAGUAUAUUUGCAUGCCCUAUAUGUUUAUGUUCUCAAUUGCCAUUGCAGCUUUCAAUGCAAUCCUGAGUCAAUCUAUCUUUCCAUGAAAAAAGGUUCUCUUUUUUGCCAUGAAGAUGAUAUGAAGCCCCAAAAUUCGUUAAACAUCUUUUUUGGUGGAAACAAAUCUGGAAUUAACGUGUUAGUCACUGUUGAGAUUGCAGUUUUGAUCUACUCUGUUUAUUUGCUUCCUCUAAGCUGAAACUCUUCAUUCUCCUGCAGUAGCUUUGUUUGUAAGAUAUUAACUGUUGUGAAAGCAGGUCAUUGUUUACUAGUAGUCUGUAUCAGUUUUUUCGUUUAUUUUUCUCUUAUAUUCUUGGAUGGCCACUCGCUGAUACUUUUUCUCAGAGCAUCUUUUGUCAAAACUUAAUACUUCAGUAGUUGGCUAGUAGCAUUUUGUUGACAGCCUACCCAUCUAGCACUACUUAACGGAUAUUUCAAAGACCCUUGUAUUUGUACCGGAUACACAAAAUGAUGCUUGUAUGGUAUGGUUCCGAAAAAUAGAGGGCAUUUCAUACACUAUGAAGGAACUUAUGUUAAGGUAAUCUUAAAAAGGGUCAUGGCAUUAUCAUGUUAUUCUCUGCCAUACCUGUUAACUAUUUUUGUUCCAUAUUAGCACUAUUUAUAUAGAUGCUAGGAUAUCUUUAUGCCUUGGCAUAAUUUUGUAGGGAUAGUCAGGUAGAUCUAUGUACUAUCCUCUGUUUUAUUUUUUUUUUGCAUUUCUAGAUGCUCUUUUAUAUUUGCUUCAGUUGUGUUGGUUACAAUCUCUUCUGAAAACAUGUAGGCUGGAAUUGGAGAAAAGAGAAUGAAGAUGUCGAAGACUGUUACCUUAGCAAAGAGAUUGUACCAGAGAUGAUUAACCAAGCUUGGUCUUAACAUUUAAGAGAAUGCAGUAUUAUUUCUCUCAGUUAUAGUGAAUGUCAUCUUUUCGUACACUUUUUUCAGUUAAAUCUCAGUCUAUGUAUGCUAGUACUAGCUGUCAGAUAAGAUAGUGAGCGUAGUCCGUAGUUAUAGAAUCUUGGAGAAUUGCAAACACAGAAACUGUAGACAUGCUGGUCUACGAUGUGUGAGGAGAGGAUGGUGAUCAUAUGUUUAUUCCUGAUGUUAGGCUGUAGAAAUUGGAAUAAAUGAGAUCACAGCUGUGUGCUUGCAGUAACACAAAGGAGAUGGGCACAUGCUAUUAUUGGCGCAGAGCUCUGAUUUGAAAUGAAGAUCAGUUGUGUGUUUCUUCUCUAGUACCUAGUUUAGCCUGUGGGAAUUAUAGAAAUAAUAUUAAUGCAAUGAAGGCGAGGGGAAGGAGUCUAUUAAGGAAUGAAGUGACUUGCCAAGUGAGUAUGAUUUUUUUUAAAGUAGUUUCCUUGAGACCUUGAGUAAGAAUUGGAUGGGCAAUAAAGAGCAUACUGACUGAUUUACUGAAUGUUGUAGAUUCAUGGGGCUUUCUUACUUUCUUGAGAAGAAGUGAUGAAACUAGAUAUAGAUGCUUAGUUCUUUCUUCUUUCAGGAGAUCGACCAAGCAUGGUGGCUGGGGAUUUGCUAUACUACAGAUGAUUCUGAAGGCUCUGUUAGUUGAUGAUGCCUGAGACUUCCUUCAGUUACAAGAAUUUGGUGCAUGGAAGCAAGCAGAGGGCAGUUAUGGAUAAAGUUGAGCAAGCUAACUGACCGCAGCCAGGCUUCCUCUGGAUGUGCACAUUAUGCUCUGCUUCCAUGCUUUGUAGGCUCCUACGGGCAUUGACCUGCACUUCCACUUCCUCAUGACAAGUGGACACCUUCUUUGACUAGGUAUGCGCUGAAGUUUAUUCCCUUUUUUUCUGCGAUUUCCAGGCUGUGGCUGCAUACCUUUUUGAAAUCCUGAGCAAUUUCUGCAGUACAAGUGCGGAGUGGUAAUUGAAAUUCAAAUUGAGUAAAGUUUGUUGGAAAAUUCUGAGCACUUAGUCUGAUGCUCUGAUUCAAAUAGAAAUUUCAGAUGCAAAAUCAUUCUGAUGCGCUGAUGCAAAAUCAUUCUGCAGUAUAACUCUUGUAAUUAUUCUGAUGCUCUGAUGCAAAACCAUAAACACUGUCAGAGUACAUUGAUCUCAAGCCACCAACACUGGAACUGGAUGCACCCAUGCCCGCACCAACUGAUGCCAAGGAAGUACCCUUACUUUCAGAUUCAUACCUGUUCAGGAAGCAAUGUGUUGAAAAAUAAGAAUAAAAAUGGUUGGUGCCAAUCCCUAGAGGCGUCCGUUCAAUCAUCUCUUGAGUAGGUAGGGAGGUGUCCAUGAACACAUACUCCAAGUAGACUCUGUCCAUGCAAAUGAGCCAAGCAAAAUUACUGGUUUUCAUUGACAAGUCAGACUUGACAGUACUUACAGUACAAAUCAGACCUAACCAAUUCUGCUUACUGUAAACAAUUAUUCAGAAAUUAACACUGCUGUAACUUGCUGUACCCUCAA
This is a long non-coding RNA of Triticum dicoccoides, 2672 nucleotides long. RefSeq lists it as uncharacterized. NCBI's taxonomy places the organism in Eukaryota, Viridiplantae, Streptophyta, Magnoliopsida, Poales, Poaceae. The record is from RefSeq and is a predicted model, not a curated record. The transcript has 3 exons.